GCCAGUGUCGCAUAAUCUGGUAUUGCGCUGGUCUUGAAAACCAGUCCCUUUGGGAUUGCCGGUUCAAAUCCGGCCGCUGGCG
RNAcentral lists this transfer RNA (82 nucleotides) under Nanobdellota archaeon. RNAcentral describes it as "tRNA-Ser". It matches the Rfam family "tRNA". From Rfam's summary of the family: Transfer RNA (tRNA) molecules are approximately 80 nucleotides in length. Their secondary structure includes four short double-helical elements and three loops (D, anti-codon, and T loops). Further hydrogen bonds mediate the characteristic L-shaped molecular structure. tRNAs have two regions of fundamental functional importance: the anti-codon, which is responsible for specific mRNA codon recognition, and the 3' end, to which the tRNAs corresponding amino acid is attached (by aminoacyl-tRNA synthetases). tRNAs cope with the degeneracy of the genetic code in two manners: having more than one tRNA (with a specific anti-codon) for a particular amino acid; and 'wobble' base-pairing, i.e. permitting non-standard base-pairing at the 3rd anti-codon position. The record is from RNAcentral. Lineage: Archaea; Nanobdellati; Nanobdellota.